UGAAAUUACAAGGGUGUGCCACCAUGCCCAGCUGUCAAGUCAACUUGAAAAACAUGGAUUUUAGUUUAAAAGCUAUGUGUUGACUUAUUGAGAUUCAUCACAGUCCCCAUCAACAUCCCAGCUGGCUUUGCAGCAAUUGACAAGGCGAUGUAACGUUCCUAUGGAAAUUCAAGGGACCAAAAAGUAGUCAGAACUUUCUUUAAAAAAAAAAAAAAGAAGAAAUGUAGGUAAGACUGGGGGAAAAAAUGACAGAGUGGUAAGCAGCAACAAUUCAGCCUUUCUAAGAUUCAGAGUCCAGACAUGGGAAAAUUGCAACCUGGAGAAGAAAAAAGAGGUAGAUCCUGGGAACCAGGAAGAUCUGGCAGGAAAAUUCAAAGCUACAGAGAAAUUGAAUAGACAAAACACAACAUGGAGAGGGAAAGAGGCAGUCUGCACUUUCUCCCCAUCUCCUGACUCAUUGGGAAGGGAAACCGAAGCUACAGAGAUGGAGUGAAUGCUGGGAUCCCCAGAGGUCCCAGGGAGAAAUGCAGUGGCAAAAAGACUGGAUUGGCAAGUGCUGUGAUCUGCAGGGAGAGCGCAGGAUUCUGCUCCCAUGCAAGUCCCUCGUCAGGCAACAGCUGGGAUCCAGCUCAGGACCUUGCCCUUGAACAGCAGGUGCUGGAACCACUGAGCUAAAUCCCUGGCCCCUUAACAUGUAAAUCUUACAUCUGCAUUGCUGGUGUGUAUAAUAUACAUUUGCAACUGCUGUAGCACAAAUUAACUGUAUUACAAUUUAUGCCAUUUUAAUGUUUUCGUUAAGAAACUGUAAUAUAAUGAAAUACAGUCUGUUAAAUCAAUGCCUUUGCAUUAUUGCAAUCAAAGACCCCAUGAGAAGUGGAACAAGCCUCCCAGUGGGACAAUCAUUCAUGUACCACUGGUGGUUCAAGCCAGUGGGAAUGAUUGAAUUCAAAUCAGAGUCACCUAGCAGUGAGACAUACAAAUUACAGCCCUGUCUUGAAUGUUUUAAAAGCAACAAGAGAACAUGUAAAUGGAACACCUUCUAGAUGACACAAAGACUAAUCUACAAAUAACUAGAAGUGAAAAGUCAGAAGACAGCACAAAUAACGUUAAAAAAACCUGUUCAUAGAAAUAAUGGCAGAAAAUUUCCCAAACAAAGUGAGAGAAGGAAACAUGCAGAUAGUGAGGCAAGUAGCCACAACCAAAACCCUGCCACAUAAUAAAAUAUUAGAAAUCCAUCACAGGGACAAAGACCUUAAAAGUUGUUAGAGAAAAGCAGAAUAUCAAAUAUAAAGGUAAACCCAUCAGAAUUACAGCAAACUUUCAAUACAAACCUUGCACAGGAGGGCUUGGACUGAAUGUUUCAAGUCCUAACAACUUCCAACCUCAACUUUAUAUAAACCUGUGAAACUUUCCUUCAAAAUUGAUGGAAAACUAAGGUAUUUAUUUAUAGGACAAAGCAUUAAAAAAAUUCAUGACCACCAAACCACCAUUACAAAAAGUUCUCAAGGAUAUACUAGAAAGAGACAACGAAGCUAACAAUGGCAGUAAAUCAAGUAGAAUGAGCACAUCUGACAGGAUGAGCAGCUAAAAGGAAAAAAGGAAAUCAAGAAUAGGAAAAUUAUUCAGCAGCAGCAAUAAUUCAGUAAACUUCAGUAAGAACUCUCAAUGUGAAUGGUCUCAACUCCCCAAUCAAAAGAUGGAGAUUGGCAGAAUGGAUCUAGAAAUCAAACCCAACAAUCUUCAGUAUGUAAGAAACACAUUUAAUUCCAAAAAAUUCACAUUAAAAAUCAAAGGAUGGAAAGCAAUAUUCCAUGUAUUGGGAACAUGGAAUAAAGCAAGGGCAGCUAUCCUAAUUUUGAACAGAGUGGCCUUCAAUCCAAGACUGAUCACAAAAAAUGAAAGUCACUACUUAUAGGCUAAGGAAACAAUACAACCGGAAGAGAUAACAGUUAUAAAGAUAUACACACCAGGGCAAGGGAUUUAGCUCAGUGGUUUCACCACUUGCUGCACAAGGGCAAGGACCUGAGUUCGAUCCCCAGUACCAAAAAAAAAUUUAUACACACCAAACACAGGUGCACUCAACUUCAUAAAAUAAGCGCUACUGGACAUGAAAAACUCAGAUAAACAGCAAUAUAAUUGUAAUGGGAGAAAUUUAUACCCUACUGUUACAAAUAGAUCACUUAGAAAAGAACAUCAAAGUUGAACCAAACCUUUGAACAGAUGAACUUAAUAGAUAUCUACACAAUGUUCCACCCAACAACAGAAUACACAUUCUCAGCAGCUUAUGGGACUUUCUCCAAAAUAGACCAUGUACUAGCCCAUAAAGCAUACUUAAACACAAAAGAAUUGAAAUUAUCCUGUACAUAUCAUCAGAUUAUAGUGCAGUGGAACUAGAAAUCAAUGGCAAACUCCUGCAAAAACAUGGAAAUUUAAAAAUACCCCUUUAAACAAUCAGUGGGUCCCAGAAGAAAUCAAGGAAGAAAUUAGACGGUUCCAAGGAUCAAAUAAUAAUGCCACUAGAAUGUACUGGAACCUGUAGGAAACAAUGGAAGUAGUCCUAAGAGGGAAGUUUAUAGCAGUGAAUGCCCACAUUAAAGGGAAAAAAAGAGCAUGCUCAAAUAAUGUGAUGUACAUCAAGGACCUAGAAAAUCAAGAACAAUUCCAUAUCCAAAGCUAGCAUGAGGAAGGAAAUGAUAAAGAUUAGAGCAGAAAUUAAUGAAAUUGAGACAAAAAAAUUACAAAGAAUCAAUGAGUCAGUUGGUUCUUUGAAAUAAUAAAAUAGACAAACCCUUAGCCAAUCUUAAGAAAAACCCCCAAAUCCAUGCAAUUAGAAAUGAAAAAGGCAAAUGGAAAACUGCUGAAAUCUAGAAGAUCAUUGGUAACUACAAGAAUCUGUAAUAAAAACGGUAAAUUUAGAAGAAAUAGAUAGACUCCUAGAUACAUAUGAACUACCAAAGGUGAGCCAGGAAAAUAUAAAAACCCUUAAUAUUCCAAUACCAGUCAGUAUAAUUGAAGAAGUAAUGAACUAAUAAAAGCCCAAGUGCCAAGGGAUUCACUGAUGAAUUCUGCAAGAAUUUUUGAGAAGAUCUAACACCAGUACUGACCAAACUCUUUAGUGAAAUAAAAAAGGUAGCAGUACUCCCAAAGUUACUCCUAGAAAGAAGCAUUAGAUUCCAAAACCAGAAAAGGACCCAACUAAAAAAGAACUCCAGGCCAAUCUCUUUAAUGAACAUAGAUACAAAAAUCCUCAAUGGCAAAAAAAUACAACAAAUUAUCAAAAGCAUUGGACAUCAUGACCAAGUGGGAUUCAUUCCAGGAAUGCAAGGAUGGUUCAGCAUAUCUAAAUCAAUAAAUGCAAUAUAUCUCAUAAACAGAAGGACAGAAGUUGCAUGAUCAUCUCAAUGGAUGCAGAAAAAGCAUUUGACAAAAUCCAACACCCCACCCAUCAUGUUAAUAAUCCUGAAAAAAAUAAGUAUAGAAAGUCUUUAUCUCAAUCUGAUCUGUGACAAAGUAACAGUCAUCAUCAUAUUAAAUGAAAAGCUGAACACUUCCUCUAAAAUCAGGAACAAGAAAAGGAUGUCUGGUAUCAGUCCUGUUGAACAUAGUCCUCAAAACAUUAGCCAGAGUAGUCGAGCAAGAGAAAGUAUACAUACAUAUAUGGGAAAGAUAAAUGACCAUUAUUUGCAGAUGACAUUCUCUACAAAGAAGACUACAAAAACUCCACCAAAGGACCCCUUGAAUUAAUAACCAAAUUCAGUUAUAGAGUAGGAUACAAAGUCAACACUGAAAAAUAGCAUUCAUGUACACCAGCAUCAAGUCACUGGGUGAAAAAUUAGGGAAGCAGUACCUUUCACAGCAUCAAGUAAAAUGAAAUAUGUACGAAUUAAUUUGACCAUCUAAGUGAAAGACCUCUACAAUGAAAACUACAGUGCUGUGAAAAGGAAUAUGGAAAGAUAUCCCCAUUCCUUGAUGGGCAGAACCAGUAAAGCCCUAAAUAACUAUACUUCCAAAACUGUUAAGCAGAUGUAACAUAAUUGCAAUCAAAAUAUCAAUAGCAUUUCUUACAGAACUACAGAAAGCAUACCUAAAAUUUCAUAGGGAACCAGAAGAGACCUAGAAUAGCAAAGCAAUUCUGGACAAUAAGGGCAAGGCAGGUGACAUCACAAUUCUUGACUACAAAGCUACUGUGGUAAAAAUAGUAUGGUAUUGGCAAGGACACAAGACUUGUGGAUGGAACUGAGUAGAGCAGUGAUGGUGAACUUAUGGCACACGUGCUGCUGUGGGUGGCAGGGAGAGCCAGGUCACCCCAGCAUUUCCCCCAGCAACUGGGCAUUGGAUAACAGUGCACAAAAAGCACACCAAGUGCAAAGUUUUACGUUUCAAUAAGAAGCUGUUUGUAUCAUUGAAAGCCCUGUUAUAUUUUUCUUUAAAGACAAAAGAUGUUGAUGUAUGAAUUCUUUAAAACCUCAGUAUUGGGGUUUAAUUGCAUUGUUGGGAGUUUGCCAUAAAUAAGUGGGUUUUGGGUUGCAGUUUGGGCACUCAGUCUCUGAAAGGUUUGCCAUCACAACAGAGGGUGCAGGAACAACUCCAGGAACACACAGCUAUCUUAUCAUAGACAAACAGGGCAAAUACUUUCACUGGAAGAAAAAUAGCCUGUUUGAGAGAUUGGACCUAGACCUAUAUCUCUCACCAUGCACUAAACUAAAACAAAAUGGAUCAAAGACCUAAAUAUUAAAACAGAAGCAUUUAAUCUACCAGAAGACAAAAUAGGUGAAGAUGUAGGUGUGGGCAAAGACUUUCUGAAUAGAACCCCAGUUGCAGAAGAAAUAAUACCAAGAAUCAACAAAUGGGAUCACAUCAAAUUAAAAAGUUUGACAAAGCAAAGGAAACCAACCAGGGUAAAGAAACAAUCAACAGAAUAGGAAAAAAAUUUUGCCAGGCACUCAUCAGACAAAGGAUUAAUAUCUAGAAUGCAUAUAAAUUAGAACUCAAAAAGAACUCCUCCAGUUUAAAACCCGAAUUAAAAAAAUGGGCAUUUUUCCACUGCCUGCCUUGCAAGCGCAAGGUCCCAAGUUCAAUCCUUGGUACAGAAAAAAAAGGGCAUUUUCAAUGAACAGACACUGCAAAUGGCUAAUAAAUAAGAGAAACUUUUCAACAUCACUAGCCAUUUAAGAAAUGCAGAUUGAAGCAACACUGAAAUUUUACCUAAUUCCAUAAAGAAUGAUUAUCUUCAAGAAAGAUUACAAAUGCUGGAUAGGCUGUGGGGAGAGGCAGUCCUUCAUUGCUGGAGUGUAAACUGGUGCAAUGACUAUGGAAAUAAGUAUGGAGAUUCCUCAGAAAAACAGAAAAUAGAAAUUCCAGUUUCUCUAGUCAUUCCCCUUCCUGAAAGAGUUAACAUAUUAGAGUGACAUGUGCAUUAGAGUGAUGUGUGCGUACCUAUGUUUAUAGCAGUGCAGUUUAUAAUAGCUAAAUCUUGGAAGCAGCCUAUGUGUCCAUCAAAAGAUGAGUGGAUAAGGAAAUACGGUAUUUAUAUCCAAUGGAGUACUCUUUCAUGAAGGUUCAGCUUGAUUCAUUUGUGGGAAAAUGGAUGCACCUUGACACUGUACCAUUAAGUGAAGUAAAUCAAGCUUGAAUUUAUCAUAUAUAUAUAUAUAAAGUGCAAAAUAAGAGACAAUAGGAAAAAAAGAGAAAUUGUACUCUCUCAUGGCCAG
Molecule: long non-coding RNA, 5711 nt
Organism: Heterocephalus glaber (naked mole-rat)
Lineage: Eukaryota; Metazoa; Chordata; Mammalia; Rodentia; Bathyergidae
Source: Ensembl